RNAcentral lists this ribosomal RNA (253 nucleotides) under uncultured bacterium. RNAcentral's name for it is "partial 16S ribosomal RNA". It matches the Rfam family "Bacterial small subunit ribosomal RNA", at positions 524 to 776 of the family's 1533-position model. The record is from RNAcentral.
UACAGAGGGUGCAAGCGUUAAUCGGAAUUACUGGGCGUAAAGCGCGCGUAGGCCGUCGAGUAAGUCGGAUGUGAAAUCCCCGGGCUUAACCUGGGAAUUGCAUUCGAUCCUGCUUGGCUAGAGUGUGGAAGAGGGAAGCGGAAUUUCCGGUGUAGCGGUGAAAUGCGUAGAUAUCGGAAGGAACACCAGUGGCGACGGCGGCUUCCUGGUCCAACACUGACGCUGAGGCGCGAAAGCGUGGGGAGCGAACAGG